RNAcentral lists this ribosomal RNA (693 nucleotides) under uncultured Nitrososphaerota archaeon. Its description in RNAcentral is "bacterial SSU rRNA". It matches the Rfam family "Archaeal small subunit ribosomal RNA", at positions 209 to 903 of the family's 1478-position model. Lineage: Archaea; Thermoproteati; Nitrososphaerota. The record is from RNAcentral.
AUGGGACUGCGGCCUAUCAGUUUGUUGGUGAGGUAAUGGCCCACCAGGACUAUUACAGGUACGGGCUCUGAGAGGAGUAGCCCGGAGAUGGGUACUGAGACACGGACCCAGGCCCUAUGGGGCGCAGCAGGCGAGAAAGCUUUGCAAUGUGCGAAAGCACGACAAGGUUAAUCCGAGUGAUUUGUGCUAAACGAAUCUUUUGUUAGUCCUAGAAACACUAACGAAUAAGGGGUGGGCAAGUUCUGGUGUCAGCCGCCGCGGUAAAACCAGCACCUCAAGUGGUCAGGAUGAUUAUUGGGCCUAAAGCAUCAGUAGCCGGCUCUGUAAGUUUUCGGUUAAAUCUGUAUGCUCAACAUACAGGCUGCCGGGAAUACUGCAGAGCUAGGGAGUGGGAGAGGUAGACGGUACUCGGUAGGGAGGGGUAAAAUCCUUUGAUCUAUUGAUGACCACCUGUGGCGAAGGCGGUCUACCAGAACACGUCCGACGGUGAGGGAUGAAAGCUGGGGGAGCAAACCGGAUUAGAUACCCGGGUAGUCCCAGCUGUAAACUAUGCAAACUCAGUGAUGCAUUGACUUGUGGUCAAUGCAGUGCUGCAGGGAAGCCGUUAAGUUUGCCGCCUGGGAAGUACGUACGCAAGUAUGAAACUUAAAGGAAUUGGCGGGGGAGCACCACAAGGGGUGAAGCCUGCGGUUC